GAUGAACGCUGGCGGCGUGCCUAAUACAUGCAAGUCGAGCGAACAGACGAGGAGCUUGCUCCUCUGACGUUAGCGGCGGACGGGUGAGUAACACGUGGAUAACCUACCUAUAAGACUGGGAUAACUUCGGGAAACCGGAUCUAAUACCGGAUAAUAUAUUGAACCGCAUGGUUCAAUAGUGAAAGACGGUUUUGCUGUCACUUAGAGAUGUAUCCGCGCCGCAUUAGCUAGUUGGUAAGGUAACGGCUUACCCAGGCUACGAUGCGAAGCCGACCGGAGAGGGUGAGCGGCCAGCCUGGAAGUGUGACCGGCUCCAGACUCCUACGGAAGGGACCAGUAGGGAAUCUUCAGGAAUGGGCGAAGACCUGACGAAAAAGCACCAAGUGAGUGAUGAAGGUCUUCUGAUCGUAAAACUAUGUUAUUAGGGAAGAAAAAAUGUGUAAGUAACGAUGAACGAAUUGACGGUACCUACUCAAAAAGCCACGGCUAAAUACGUG
This 497-nucleotide ribosomal RNA is filed under the name uncultured bacterium. Its description in RNAcentral is "partial 16S ribosomal RNA". It matches the Rfam family "Bacterial small subunit ribosomal RNA", at positions 28 to 507 of the family's 1533-position model. The record is from RNAcentral.